RNAcentral lists this ribosomal RNA (2657 nucleotides) under Nitzschia supralitorea. RNAcentral describes it as "23S ribosomal RNA". It matches the Rfam family "Bacterial large subunit ribosomal RNA". The record is from RNAcentral. Lineage: Eukaryota; Bacillariophyta; Bacillariophyceae; Bacillariales; Bacillariaceae.
UAAUGAUAUUGUAAAAAGUUAUUACAGCAUUAAGUGGAUACUUAAGCAUUAAGAUUCAAAAUGGACGUUUUAUAACGAAAUGUUACAUGGAGUAAAUAAUUAUACUGAGAUAUGUAAUUUUCCAUAAAUUCGGAAAACCGAUCUUUAACUGAUUAAAGAAUUGUUUAAAAAUUUUUAAACAAAAAAUUUGGUGAACUGAAUCAUCUAAGUAACCAAAAUCAAAAAUCAACCGAGUGGCUGUUAGUAGUGGCGAGCGAACGCAGUAAAAGACUAAAAAUUUAAUAACUUUAUUUAAUUGAAACUAAGCCAUAGAAGGUAGCCUAUUUAUCGGACAGCCCUGUAAAAUAAAGAUUUAAAUUUUUGUAUUAGUAAAACAGACCAAGUCAUGGUUUGUUUGAAUAUUGGGGGCCCACCCUCAAAGUCUAAAAAUCUUAAUGACUGAUAGUGAAAAGUACCGUGAGGGAAAAGUGAAAAAGACUUUGCGAAAGUGAAAAGACUUUGAAACUUAAUGCUAACAAUCUGUCGUAGUUUUUAAAAUGACGACGUACCUUUUCCCAAUUGGACCAACAAGUUUAUUCUAAUGGCGAGCUUAAAUAAUAAAGUAUGUAGGCGCAAAGAAAUUAAGUUUUAAAAUGCUUUUUAGUCUUUAGAAUAAGACCCGAAACUAAGUGAUCUAAUCAUGAACUGGUUGAAGUUUAGGCGGAAACGCCUUUCGGAGGACCGAACCCGUGUAUGUGGAAAAAUACUGGGAUGAUUUGUGAUUAGGGGUGAAAGGCCAAUCAAACUUAGAGAUAGCUGGUUUUCUGCGAAAUCUAUUUAAGUAGAGCGUUUAAAGAACUUCAUUAAGGGUAGAGCUCUCGAUAAACAAUGGGGGCUUAACGCUUUACUGAGUUUAUUGAAACUUCGAAUAUUAAUUGCAAUGACUUUAAACAGACAGACUAUGAGUGCUAAGAUUCAUUGUCAAGAGGGAAACAGCCCAGACUAUUAACUAAGGCUCUUAAAAAUAAUUAAGUGAAAAAAUUGUAAAAAAAUGUGGACAACCGAAAGGUAGGCUUAGAAGCAGCCAUCCUUUAAAGAAAGCGUAACAGCUCAUUGGUUUAGUUUUUUUGCAUUGAAAAUGUAUGGAGCUAAAAUUAUUUGCCGAAGUUAUAGAUUUAUAAGACUAAAUGGUAGCAGAACGUUCUGUAAGUUUAAGAAGUUCUAUAGUGAUAUAGAAUGGAGAUAUCAGAAAUGAAAAUGUUGGUAUGAGUAACGAUAAACAAUGUGUGAAACAUUGUCGCUUUAAGUUCAAGGUUUCCAAAACAAGGCUAAUCCGUUUUGGAUUUUAAUGUUAAUCGGUCUCUAAGGAUUUGAAACGAAAGUUUUAUUCUGAUGAGGUAAAAAUUAUUUUUUAUUUUUUUAAAAGUGACAAAAUAUAAAUAUUAUCUUUAUUUGAUGGUUUAAAUAAAGGUUAUAUAGUAUUUUCUAGAAAUAGCUUUUAAUGUUUAUAACCGUACCCUAAACCGACACAGGUGAACAAGUUUAGUAAACUAAGGCGCUUGAGAGAAUUAUGUUGAAGGAACUCGGCAAAAUGACUCCGUAACUUCGGAAUAAGGAGUGACUUUUCAAGGGCAACCUUGAAAAGUUGUCACAGAAUCGGGGACAGCGACUGUUUAUUAAAAACACAGGUUUCUGCGAAUUCGUAAGAAGAUGUAUUGAAACUGACGCCUGCCCAGUGCUGCAAGAUUAAAGGAAAAGGUCUUUUGGCUUUAACCCUAACUCCCAGUAAACGGCGGCUGUAACUCUGACGGUCCUAAGGUAGCGAAAUUCCUUGGCAUUUAAUUGGUGUCCUGCAUGAAUGGCGUAACGACUGUCCCACUGUCUCCAACAUAAACUCAGUGAAAUUGAAUUCUUCGUGAAGAUGCGAAGUUCUUGCGGCUAGACGGAAAGACCCCGUGCACCUUUAGAAACGCUUUUGAAAUACCACUCUAAAAAUUUUUUAUUGCUUAUUAGUUAAGACAGUGUAUAAUGGGUAGUUUGACUGGGGCGGUCGCCUCCUAAAGAGUAACGGAGGCGUGCAAAGGUAAACUUGAACUGAACUAUAACAGUUCUAAAGCAUAAUAGUAGAUGUUUGCCUGACUGUAAGAUUGACAAAUCAAGCAGGGACGAAAGUCGGUUAUAGUGAUCCGAUGAUUCUGAGUGGAAAUGGUCAUCGCUCAACGAAUAAAAGGUACGCCGGGGAUAACAGGCUAAUCACUCUCUAGAGACCCUAUCGACGGAGUGGUUUGGCACCUCGAUGUUGGAUUAUCGCAUCCUGGAGCUGUAGGUGGUUCCAAGGGUUUGGCUGUUCGCCAAUGAAGGCGGUACAUGAUCUGAGUUUAGAACGUUGUGAAACAGUUUGGUCCCUAUCUACCGCAAGUGUAAAAAAUUGAGAGGAGUAAACCUUAGUACGAGAGGACCGGGAAAAGUAAAUCCAUGGUGAAUCGAUUGUUGUACCAACAGCAUAGUCGAGUAGCUACAUUUAUAAUAAAUAAUCACUGAAAGCAUCUAAGUGAGAAAUUAACCUCAAUACAAAUUUUUUUUAAAAUGUAAUAGAUGAUUACAUAGAUAGGCUUGGUGUGUAAGGAUUGUAAGAUUUUUAGCUAACAAGUACUAAAUUAAUUUUAACAAACUUUUUA